GAUAAAAUGCCUUCCUGAAAUGAUAUCUCUUCAUCUAGUGAAUCCCAUGACUUUCCAUUUAGCUGCAAGCUCUUGAAGUCAUAUGAUGUAGAAAACAAGGUUUGUAACCAUGGGACAGUGUAGCCAAGUGGAAAGACACUCUAUGACACAGUUUACCGUUCUAGACCUGACCUCAGCAGCCCUCUGGGAUAACUUCUAUCACGUACGUUUUGGAUUCGGUGGAAGCCUGAAAGCAGGAAUUUGGCUGUUUAUCCGGGACAAGUUCCCCUUGUUCCAAAAGCACGUGAACUGUCAUAUACAGCGGCGUCUACAGCUGUGAGACACGAGCCGGAUGACGCACCUGCACCUGGAGUCUCAUAUAGUGUAUAGAACUGCACAAACGAUAAAACUGGGGGAGGCAACAUAUACUAUGCUAAUAAUAACCAGAAAGGACGAGAGAAUAUCACAACAGGGAUUUGAGUCUAUUUCAUAAAUUACAUACAUGGAUAAGCAAUAAUAAUAAGAUUAAAUAAAUCAUAGAAGCAGUGACUAGUCAUUUCCUGUGGGGAAGUGAGAGGAAAUGGCACUAUAUUGGUGUUUGACUCUGAUAUGAGCUCAUAUCAAAAGGUUAGUGACAAGUACAUGAGAUUUAUUGAUGGUUAUGUCAAAUUUUCACUGAAAGAUAUCUACAUUUUAACGAGCUGUGAUUCUUUCUGAUGCUUUACUGAUUUUGAAGAGAUUCCUGUUGCAUGUCUGCUCUAGAUACAUAUUAAGAAGAUAUAAAGAUUAGUCCUUAGAUGCAGUUGGUCAAUAAAACUACAGGCAAUGGCUUGCAUGUGAGAUACCAAAUGUUAUUGCUAGUUCUUCUGCAUUGGGGUGGUUUUGGACUGGCUGUGCAACUGAGAAAAUAAGCUAUUGUUUUUAACAAAAAAUUAACGCAGACUUCAAAUGGAACUCGUGUGUUUGUGCUUACAACAUGGGUUGUGUAUAAAAACUGGUUGGCAGGCGGGUUACAUCAGCUGUAAAUCGUGAACACUGUUGCUAGCCAACCAUUGUUGUCUAGAAGAAGAUCGAGGCUAACAGAUUAGCGAGCCUAACAUCCAGGUAACGUAACGCAGGAAAUACAAAAACAUGAGAAAAAGAUGAGGGCAUUGGAUGUAUCGAAAGGUGUCACUGCUGAAGUCUGAAAUUUGUCAGCCCUUAGGCUUUUGUCCUGGGCCCCAGUCCGUUGCCUGGCUCACCUGGUGACAAGCUCGAGCAUAUCCGACUGUGUAUGGGAAAAGUCCACGAGAACAAUCCCCUGUUGUGCUUUUCACAGCCUCAAAAGUGGAAAAUGUGCCAAGGUCCGAGUUCACGAGUUGGGAAGUGUUCGUGUGGAGGUGGAUGAUAAGUGAUAUGUUGUAAUUUAAUCAUGUAGUCAAGUUUUCUCUGACAUUUCAUAACAUCAUAACAUGUAAACAUCAAAAAUAAAAAGAGAAAUGUGUUUUUGUUUUUUGUUUUUUCAAGGUCAAGGUUUCUUGCAUCAAAUAGUGAACAAUUGCUAAACAAGCUAGCUAGCCAGCUUGCUGGUACCUUGAACGGCUUUCAGACGAAAUAAUGAAGUAAUAAUUGGCGUUGUUCUCCUCAUGGCCUCUCGGUUUGGGCAAUGCUGUACCUACAGGCUGCUCCAUCAGAACUUUCCCCACAUCUUUACCACCUUAAUAGAGCUCAGCUCCUGCUCAGAGGCAACAGGUGGGAAGUGUCAGGAGGAGUCAUUACUAAAGGGAAGCGCUCGGACCUGAGAUAGAAACUGCAGGAAAGAUAGUAGGUGGUAUUCCCACUUCCGAACAGAUGCACAUGUCAAGGGUGCGGAGACAUGCGUCACACGGGGCCCUCGCUGCACCGUGCAGCAACCACACUCUGAAGUGGAACGGGAUGGGAGGGAAGAGCGAGGCUGGCAUCUCAUGGUAUUCAUCUGAUAUACGGACUACUUAAGGCUGUCGAUUUGCAUUGUCGUUUCAGAGGGAUGGUGACGUCGCAACGGCGAAGUAUCGAAAUGUUCUUGACGCAUUGUUUCUUGAUUCAAAUCUGCUCUUUCACUUGGAGUCUGAAUAAGAAACGACUGUAAGCCUUAACAGUCUGUAAUUUGACCAAGGCUUUGUUAUUGAGAGCAGCACCCAGUGACAUCUGCAACCGCCAGAUCUCCAGAUAAAUUGAUCUCAUAGCAACCACAUUUCCAUGGCAACCAGGAUACAGAUGCCAUGCUGAGGUGAUAUGCAGAGUGACUGGCUGCCAGACUGACAUUUUUUUCCAUAAUAAAAAAAAGAAAAAAAAAGAAAAGAAAAGAAACUUAAGUGAAUAAUUCAUGUAGUUUCCAUUCCUAAAUUAUUGUCUGCAUCAUCGGCCUCCUAUGUUUUCCUGUCUGU
Long non-coding RNA from Mugil cephalus (flathead mullet), 2384 nucleotides. RefSeq lists it as uncharacterized. The record is from RefSeq and is a predicted model, not a curated record. The transcript is spliced from 3 exons. Lineage: Eukaryota; Metazoa; Chordata; Actinopteri; Mugiliformes; Mugilidae.